This 114-nucleotide ribosomal RNA is filed under the name Rhodofomitopsis feei. RNAcentral describes it as "Fomitopsis feei partial 28S ribosomal RNA". The stretch from base 29 to 114 matches the Rfam family "Eukaryotic large subunit ribosomal RNA", at positions 1 to 86 of the family's 3401-position model. Lineage: Eukaryota; Fungi; Basidiomycota; Agaricomycetes; Polyporales; Fomitopsidaceae. The record is from RNAcentral.
CUGGAUGGGACAAAUGUAAUAUGACCUUUGACCUCAGAUCAGGUAGGGUUACCCGCUGAACUUAAGCAUAUCAAUAAGCGGAGGAAAAGAAACUAACAAGGAUUCCCCUAGUAA